This 253-nucleotide ribosomal RNA is filed under the name uncultured bacterium. RNAcentral describes it as "partial 16S ribosomal RNA". It matches the Rfam family "Bacterial small subunit ribosomal RNA", at positions 524 to 776 of the family's 1533-position model. The record is from RNAcentral.
UACGAAGGGGGCUAGCGUUGCUCGGAAUUACUGGGCGUAAAGGGCGCGUAGGCGGCCGAUCAAGUCAGAUGUGAAAGUCCUGGGCUUAACCUGGGGACUGCAUUUGAUACUGAUUGGCUUGAAUGCAGGAGAGGAUAGCGGAAUUCCCAGUGUAGAGGUGAAAUUCGUAGAUAUUGGGAAGAACACCGGUGGCGAAGGCGGCUAUCUGGACUGUGAUUGACGCUGAGGCGCGAAAGCGUGGGGAGCAAACAGG